GUGGAACUUGGGAUUCGAACGGCAGGCGGGAAGUGCUCUAGCAGGGGAGUCUGACCUUGUGAGGGAAUACCUGUGUCCCCCCUUUUUUCCCCUUUUUACCCAAUAAAACCCUGCCUUACUCACCCUUUAAAUCAUCUGCGAGCCUGAAUUUUCAUGGCCGUGGGACGGACAAGAACUUUAUCUUCAGCUGAACUAAGAAAAAGUCCUGCAACAUUUUUGGCGCGCAAUGUGGGGGCACCAGAAGCGGGCACCGUUGAGCUGUUGCAACUGUUCUGCUGGAGCCUUAUGUAUGUGGUUGAAACCACCUGUACUACUGGAAUGAAAGCACCUUUACAGAAGAGGCAAUGCAAGUUGUAUUCAUCACAUGUGUAGAAUGAAUUAAGAUUUAUGCCAGUUGCAAAGAAGAAUAUUGGCUCACUAUUUUUCCUCUGGGCAUCAGCAUAUGAUCCCCUGUUGAAGACAGACAAGUACAUCUUUCUGGUGGCUCCUAGACCUGGCAUUGGGAACAGAAGAUUAUCAGUAUGAUCCGUACGCUUAAGGAAAGAUCUCAUAUUAUUGAAAUGAAUAUUUUAUUUGAUAAAUUGAACUACAGAAUAAAGUACUUUUAACAAACCA
Molecule: long non-coding RNA, 615 nt
Organism: Homo sapiens (human)
Lineage: Eukaryota; Metazoa; Chordata; Mammalia; Primates; Hominidae
Gene: MIR924HG
Product: MIR924 host gene
Source: Ensembl